RNAcentral lists this transfer RNA (72 nucleotides) under Camelus bactrianus (Bactrian camel). It matches the Rfam family "tRNA". Rfam says of the family: Transfer RNA (tRNA) molecules are approximately 80 nucleotides in length. Their secondary structure includes four short double-helical elements and three loops (D, anti-codon, and T loops). RNAcentral also lists the same sequence under 2 other names. The record is from Rfam by way of RNAcentral. Lineage: Eukaryota; Metazoa; Chordata; Mammalia; Artiodactyla; Camelidae.
GAGGGUGUAGCUCAGUGGUAGAGCACAUGCUUGGCAUGUAUGAGGUCCUGGGUUCAAUCCCCAGUACCUCCA